ACAUGGAUUUCCCAUGAUUUCAGAACAUUUAUAUUAACUUAUUGAUCUAUUAAUUUAUUGAAACGACGUUGACUGAGGCAAUCACUAUAAAUCUCCCGGAUGAAUCCAUUCACAAACGCAAAAUGUCCACCCCUAAUAACAGGUCCAUUGUAAUGCACUGGGGCGAUGCAAAGAGCUCACAAUAGCGGGAAAUUUGAAAAGGCUGACAAGACAGGCUUGAGAUAGGAAUGCAAGCAAAUGCAAUUCUGAGAAAAGGAAUGAACUUUUACAACGUAUACGUGUAUUUCUAUAUGACAAGACAUCCGACUUUCUUUUCCUGAUAUUUCUGCGUAUGAGAGGAAAAAUUUAAAAUGGAAACUUCAGGAACUGACUUCAGCUUUGAUUUUAAACAUUGGUGAUAACAAGAUUAACCUUGGAGUAAUCAAAGAGAACCCAGUUACAACUGCAGGUAUAUAUGCACGCAAUCCUCAAUGAACUUGUGCAUUACGUUCCCAGGGACUACCCAAUCUGUUUCCAUGGAGACCAAAAAGUCAUUGAAACCAUCAACAAGCUUGCGGCCGCGAUGGUUCCUACCCCAAAAAAUAUAGACUCAGAGAAUUCCAUCCAAUCCCCCAGGAUUUCCAUUUCCGGUCUCUUGUAAUGAAGACAUUACAAGGUUUAAAAGAAGAUCAAGUCUAUUACAUAAUCCCUGCUUCAGGACAUCAUCACUGAGUUAUACUCAACUCAUCUCACACGGAAAAGGGCUCAAGAAUAUCAGGGAGGCAUUCGGGCACCGUUCCGUUAAUGAACAGAUGACCAGUUUCAGUCACACAGAUGAUUUUCUCUUGAACUUGAUGGUACGUCAAUGGUGGAGUGCUCUAAUGUAACCUGCAAGCGUUAGGAAGCUAGGUGGUUCCAUGUGGACUGCGUCAUGCUGACAGACGGGGAAAAAUGAGUGACUGACUGGUUCUACAGUAAAGAAUGCACAGAAUCUGGUAACGGCCAAUCCUGUAAAUGCAGGAGUAAAGAUGGAGGCAUUUUAAAAUGGACUUGUUCGAACAGUUCCUAUGAGAAGGGGAAGUCCUUCCAUCACUCCUGCGUGAGAUCGACUACAAUUU
Lytechinus variegatus (green sea urchin) is the source of this 1097-nucleotide long non-coding RNA. RefSeq lists it as uncharacterized. The record is from RefSeq and is a predicted model, not a curated record. The transcript has 5 exons. Lineage: Eukaryota; Metazoa; Echinodermata; Echinoidea; Temnopleuroida; Toxopneustidae.